Molecule: ribosomal RNA, 350 nt
Filed under: uncultured bacterium
Lineage: Bacteria
Description: bacterial SSU rRNA
Rfam family: Bacterial small subunit ribosomal RNA
Source: RNAcentral
GGACCCGCACAAGUAGUGGAGCAUGUGGUUUAAUUCGAAGAUACGCGCAGAACCUUACCAACACUUGACAUGUUCGUCGCGACUCUAAGAGAUUAGAGUUUUCGGUUCGGCCGGACGAAACACAGGUGCUGCAUGGCUGUCGUCAGCUCGUGUCGUGAGAUGUUGGGUUAAGUCCCGCAACGAGCGCAACCCUCACUUUUAGUUGCCAUCAUUAGGUUGGGCACUCUGAAAGAACUGCCAGUGAUAAGCUGGAGGAAGGUGGGGAUGACGUCAAGUCCUCAUGGCCCUUACGUGUUGGGCUACACACGUGCUACAAUGGCCGGUACAGAGAGCAGCCACUACGCGAGUAG